RNAcentral lists this ribosomal RNA (2672 nucleotides) under Klebsiella pneumoniae. RNAcentral's name for it is "bacterial LSU rRNA". It matches the Rfam family "Bacterial large subunit ribosomal RNA". Lineage: Bacteria; Pseudomonadati; Pseudomonadota; Gammaproteobacteria; Enterobacterales; Enterobacteriaceae. The record is from RNAcentral.
CACUAUCGUUAACUGAAUACAUAGGUUAACGAGGCGAACCGGGGGAACUGAAACAUCUAAGUACCCCGAGGAAAAGAAAUCAACCGAGAUUCCCCCAGUAGCGGCGAGCGAACGGGGAGCAGCCCAGAGUCUGAAUCAGCUUGUGUGUUAGUGGAACGGUCUGGAAAGUCCGACGGUACAGGGUGAUAGUCCCGUACACCAAAAUGCACAGGCUGUGAACUCGAAGAGUAGGGCGGGACACGUGGUAUCCUGUCUGAAUAUGGGGGGACCAUCCUCCAAGGCUAAAUACUCCUGACUGACCGAUAGUGAACCAGUACCGUGAGGGAAAGGCGAAAAGAACCCCGGCGAGGGGAGUGAAAAAGAACCUGAAACCGUGUACGUACAAGCAGUGGGAGCACCUUCGGGUGUGACUGCGUACCUUUUGUAUAAUGGGUCAGCGACUUAUAUUCUGUAGCAAGGUUAACCGUAUAGGGGAGCCGCAGGGAAACCGAGUCUUAACUGGGCGUUAAGUUGCAGGGUAUAGACCCGAAACCCGGUGAUCUAGCCAUGGGCAGGUUGAAGGUUGGGUAACACUAACUGGAGGACCGAACCGACUAAUGUUGAAAAAUUAGCGGAUGACUUGUGGCUGGGGGUGAAAGGCCAAUCAAACCGGGAGAUAGCUGGUUCUCCCCGAAAGCUAUUUAGGUAGCGCCUCGUGAACUCAUCUUCGGGGGUAGAGCACUGUUUCGGCUAGGGGGUCAUCCCGACUUACCAACCCGAUGCAAACUACGAAUACCGAAGAAUGUUAUCACGGGAGACACACGGCGGGUGCUAACGUCCGUCGUGAAGAGGGAAACAACCCAGACCGCCAGCUAAGGUCCCAAAGUCAUGGUUAAGUGGGAAACGAUGUGGGAAGGCACAGACAGCCAGGAUGUUGGCUUAGAAGCAGCCAUCAUUUAAAGAAAGCGUAAUAGCUCACUGGUCGAGUCGGCCUGCGCGGAAGAUGUAACGGGGCUAAACCAUGCACCGAAGCUGCGGCAGCGACACUAUGUGUUGUUGGGUAGGGGAGCGUUCUGUAAGCCUGCGAAGGUGUGCUGUGAGGCAUGCUGGAGGUAUCAGAAGUGCGAAUGCUGACAUAAGUAACGAUAAAGCGGGUGAAAAGCCCGCUCGCCGGAAGACCAAGGGUUCCUGUCCAACGUUAAUCGGGGCAGGGUGAGUCGACCCCUAAGGCGAGGCCGAAAGGCGUAGUCGAUGGGAAACAGGUUAAUAUUCCUGUACUUGGUGUUACUGCGAAGGGGGGACGGAGAAGGCUAUGUUAGCCGGGCGACGGUUGUCCCGGUUUAAGCAUGUAGGCUGAUUGUCCAGGCAAAUCCGGAUAAUCAAGGCUGAGGUGUGAUGACGAGGCACUACGGUGCUGAAGUAACAAAUGCCCUGCUUCCAGGAAAAGCCUCUAAGCAUCAGGUAACAUUAAAUCGUACCCCAAACCGACACAGGUGGUCAGGUAGAGAAUACCAAGGCGCUUGAGAGAACUCGGGUGAAGGAACUAGGCAAAAUGGUGCCGUAACUUCGGGAGAAGGCACGCUGGUGUGUAGGUGAAGCCCCUGCGGGUGGAGCUGAGACCAGUCGAAGAUACCAGCUGGCUGCAACUGUUUAUUAAAAACACAGCACUGUGCAAACACGAAAGUGGACGUAUACGGUGUGACGCCUGCCCGGUGCCGGAAGGUUAAUUGAUGGGGUUAUCCGUAAGGAGAAGCUCUUGAUCGAAGCCCCGGUAAACGGCGGCCGUAACUAUAACGGUCCUAAGGUAGCGAAAUUCCUUGUCGGGUAAGUUCCGACCUGCACGAAUGGCGUAAUGAUGGCCAGGCUGUCUCCACCCGAGACUCAGUGAAAUUGAACUCGCUGUGAAGAUGCAGUGUACCCGCGGCAAGACGGAAAGACCCCGUGAACCUUUACUAUAGCUUGACACUGAACAUUGAGCCUUGAUGUGUAGGAUAGGUGGGAGGCUUUGAAGCGUGGACGCCAGUCUGCGUGGAGCCAACCUUGAAAUACCACCCUUUAAUGUUUGAUGUUCUAACGUUGGCCCCUUACCGGGGUUGCGGACAGUGUCUGGUGGGUAGUUUGACUGGGGCGGUCUCCUCCCAAAGCGUAACGGAGGAGCACGAAGGUUAGCUAAUCCUGGUCGGACAUCAGGAGGUUAGUGCAAUGGCAUAAGCUAGCUUGACUGCGAGCGUGACGGCGCGAGCAGGUGCGAAAGCAGGUCAUAGUGAUCCGGUGGUUCUGAAUGGAAGGGCCAUCGCUCAACGGAUAAAAGGUACUCCGGGGAUAACAGGCUGAUACCGCCCAAGAGUUCAUAUCGACGGCGGUGUUUGGCACCUCGAUGUCGGCUCAUCACAUCCUGGGGCUGAAGUAGGUCCCAAGGGUAUGGCUGUUCGCCAUUUAAAGUGGUACGCGAGCUGGGUUUAGAACGUCGUGAGACAGUUCGGUCCCUAUCUGCCGUGGGCGCUGGAGAAUUGAGGGGGGCUGCUCCUAGUACGAGAGGACCGGAGUGGACGCAUCACUGGUGUUCGGGUUGUCAUGCCAAUGGCACUGCCCGGUAGCUAAAUGCGGAAGAGAUAAGUGCUGAAAGCAUCUAAGCACGAAACUUGCCCCGAGAUGAGUUCUCCCUGAGACUUUAAGUCUCCUGAAGGAACGUU